AUGUGCAGAGGGGGCUUCGUGCAAUAUGGCCUUGAGAAUUCAGUUCUGUCGCAGGUCCUCUCGCUCCUGCAAUCCUGGGCUCUGUUACUUCUCAACCUCUUCACUCAGGACACAGGGUCUUGGGCCCAGUCCUCCCCGACUCAGCCGUCCUCAGUGUCUGGGGCUCUGGGACAGACAGUUACCAUCUCUUGCACUGGAACCAGCAAUGACAUUGUGAGGUAUAAUGAUGUCUCCUGGUAUCAACAGCUCCCAGACAUGUCCCCCAAACUCCUGACUUAUAGUGUAAGUUCACGUCCAUCAGGGAUCCCUGAUCGCUUCUCUGGCUCCAAGUCUGGCAACACGGCCUCCCUGACCAUCUCUAGGCUCCAGGCUGAAGAUGAGCUGAUUAUUACUGUGCCUCAUAUAGAAGUGGUAGCACUUAUCACAGUGGUCCAAGUUCAUGGGGAGAGAUCCCUGAUCGCUAUUCUGGCUCCAAGUCUGGAAAAACAGCCUCCCUGACCAUCUACACACUCCAGGCUAAAGAUGAGGCUCAUUAUUACUGCUGGUAG
Odobenus rosmarus divergens (Pacific walrus) is the source of this 548-nucleotide non-coding RNA. Lineage: Eukaryota; Metazoa; Chordata; Mammalia; Carnivora; Odobenidae. The record is from the annotation of a RefSeq genome assembly.